GGCCUGCGCGGCCGGCCGGGAGCCCCCGGGCCUCCUGCCUCCUCCGCCGCCGAGGCGCGGGGCCUCUUCCGCGGGGGCGGGGAGGCCCGCCGGCGUCCGAGUCGGAGGAGGAGGAAGCGGAGGCCAGAGUUUCCUCGCCGAGAGAGGCCGUGGUGGGCGGCCGGCGGGGCGCGGCGCGGGUCGGGCGGGCGCGGGCCGGGGGCGCGAGGCGCGGGCAGCGGCCGCCUGUGUGCUCCGGUCGCCGCGCCGCUCGGUGUUGAUUCCUCCCCAGCUGCUGUCCCUAAUGGAGUCCGGCGCGCGCGUCACCGGAAAUGCCUGCACUGCGCUCGCCCACUUCCGGCGGCAGGUGCGGCGCUGUCAGCGUGUGCGGCCGCCCUGUCCUCCCCGCGGGCCUCGGCUUCGCCCGGCCCGGGUUCUGGUGGGUCCCUGCCCGGCCGCCCUGCCUGGCCGUCUCCCGGUUCCGGCCCGCCCUGGGUCCGGCCCGGCCUGACCCCGAGGGGCACGCCCGCUCCUGGUUCCGGCCCGCGCAGGUUCCGCCCGAGGCCGGGUCGCCCGCGGGUCCGCCCUGAGAUGAGGCCGCGGCCUGCGUGGGUCCGGGCCGCCCGGGGUCGCGGCUCGCGGACCCCGACCCGCGUCGGCAGCCACGGCCUGUUCCGACCUGGCCUCGAAACUUCGGGCGACCUGUGACCGACUUGGGUAACCUGGCCUGGUCUUACUAGAAACCUGAAUUUCUGAAGCCCACGCGCACACACAUCCCUGUCUGUAUUCAGUCCCACACUGCCUGCCUGUUGUCUGCACUCUGGGUCUUUCUAGAGCCAGGUUUCAGGACCACUUGCACUUAGCCACUCAAGACUCAGCUGGUUUUGAGCCUCUGGGGUUCCUGACUCAGCCUCCCAACCUGACAUCAUAUGAGUGUCACUUACCAGGCCCCUCAGACUGGACGGCUGCUUCUCAUGAGAGUUGCUAAGACCCCACCCCUUCCACCAGCCAUCAGAGGGGCCUUUCAAGACCCUCUAUUCCCCUCACUCAUUUUUGCCUUUUCACACUCCUGGAAAAGACUAAGAUGGGUUUGGGAAUGGACAUCCAAGUUGUCUUUUAGGAAAAGGGAAGUGAGGGCAUAAUUAGGCUUUUGUGCCUUUAAACUCAUUUCCAUGUGUGUCACAGGACUCUGACCCUGUGCUAGGUUCCAGGUGAGAGGCACCUUCUUGUCCUAGGCAUGUUCUGGCAGGGACUUUCAGGGGUUUGCCCUCAUCAGGGAUGAGGCAGAGUGUUUCAAGGCUAGGCUCCUGAGCUAUUGGACUUGCAAGGCCUUCCCAUUCCUGAGAUACCUGUGAACUCCGUGCAUGAGUUCCCUGACUGCCAGUGUUUGUCAGCCUUUGAGUCCUGACCUGUGACUCAUGAAGUCACCUCAGGGGGCCAUAACCAGUAUUUUAAAAAAUGAAGUGGGAAAAUGUAAAAGCAUAGGAAAUAUCUGUCAUGGUGAUGUCCGUGUCUGUGCUUUAGGAGGUGAGAUACAUUUCUUGUGUAGGUCAUUCUCGAAAAGCUUCAAAACCACUCACCUACAGUCAGUCCUGCCUGACUAGAAGGCCACUCUCAAAGUAGGCGUUGGGUAAACAUCGACAGCUCCCCGGACUGCCCAACACAAGGUCUUCAUUGAGAUAAGUAAAAGAUAAUGUCAGAGUUUGCAAUAAAACAUAAACACCAAAAUUUUCACAGGUCUUUCUGAAACUAGUAGAGAUUUACUUUUCUGUCAAGGUUUAAUUUUCAGAGCUUGAGAUGUAACGCAUCUAGAGUGCCUAGAGGCCCUAGGUUUGAUCCCCACUACCACAAAAUAAAUAACAGAAGAUUUUUUUGUCAUCACACCUUAGUACUGUACUUAGUAACACCUGUACUUGGUUUAUGAAAUUCCUGUUAGGAAGAGGUACUUUUCAGGAACUCCGUGUCCCUGAGGAGAGAUGUGUUUGAAUUUACAUCCUUAGCUUCAUUGCUUGCUUUUCUGCCUGUGAGGCUGUAAAAUUGUCCACACUGGACUUGUGGAACUCCUGUGGGCUUGGAAGAAGUCGGGAGUGGCCUCAGGAGUAUCAGGGUCAGGCCCCUGGGCAGCUGAUUGGCCUUGGAUGGUCUCGUGACUUCUCCCACACAGGGCUCCUAAGUGGGGCUAAUGAUCUGGCCAGCCUGUCUGAUGGAGUGUCUAUGUGGGUCAAAUGAGUCACAAAUAGAACUGAUAUUUGUAAAGAUACUAUGUUGAAAUGUUUAAGAUGAAAAUUACAUUCUUGGUCAUUUAAAAAAGAUCUGAAGCAGCCAAGUGGAAAGGUGUAAAGUGGUUUUGUUACUGAGACUUGAACCAAGGACUCUGCUGGCUUCCCACCCUUGGGUUCCAGCAUCGGGGCGAGGCACGGCAGGGCUAAGCAGCCUGCUUGUCUGGGCCCCUCCACGCCGCACCCAGCGGGUCUCCCCAUGGCGAACAUGUCUCCCUCUGCUUGCUCAUCCCCUCCAUGAGGCACGUAGGGUGCUCUUCUGGGCAGGGGGACCCCAGGAGCCUUUCUCAGAAGGAGUGGGGACGCCGCCUUGCUCUCAGCUGCCACGUCUCAAGCUGUCCUAGGGGCCCAGCUGGUAUGGAUAGCAACAUCUCAGACAGCCAAAGGAACUGAAAGGAACCUCAGAAGCAAUGAUAUGUUCCCAUCACACAGCCUGGAGGAGUUUGUAACUGCAGCACCAACUUUGUAGUAGGGUCACAUUGUGAAAAUGCUGUACUGCCAGCUACAAGUGCAAUGUAUUCCCCAGCUUCGCUAACUAGAGCAGAAGAAAGCAGUAAUCACCACACGCUGAUAAGAACGGGGUGGCAAGGCGUGUUGUUAAGUGGAAAAUGCAUGUUACAAAGCACGAUGUAUAAUACUCAUUUUUAGUAAAUGAAUGAAUAUAAAUAUCUACAUUGUUUUUCUGUUGGGACAGAAAAGUAUAAGCAGUGGUUUAUCUUGGGUAGGGGGGACUGGGGUGGGAGAUCAAGGUUUUAUUUCUUUGCUUUUGUACUUUUUCUCAGUCUUUGCAUUUUCUAGAACUAUAAGUUCUUUUUAUACUUUUUUCUCAGUGUUUGCAUUUUAAGAACUAAGUUUUUAAAAGUAUCAGGUUUAUUUGAGUUUUGAAGAUUAUAGAUAAUUUUACUUUCCUUUUUCUGUAUUGAUGGUAUGCUUUUAAAGCACCGUUUUUUAAAAGAAUAUUUAAAACCAUCAGAAUACUCAUGAGUACUUAAUCAUAAUAAAAUAUGCCAGACAAGCCAGUGUUGUGUGCAUCUCACUGACAUUAAGUACGUUUGCUUUUAAAGAUCUGCUUUUCAGUACCUGUAGCUCAUAUAUUCUCAGACUGGUGUGUUUGCUCAUAGACUCCCCCCAUCUCUCGUUUGGUUAAAUUCAUGUGGGGAAUAGAAAGUAAAA
Long non-coding RNA from Heterocephalus glaber (naked mole-rat), 3431 nucleotides. The record is from Ensembl. Lineage: Eukaryota; Metazoa; Chordata; Mammalia; Rodentia; Bathyergidae.